UUAUACCCAUUUGAAGGAAAAAGUAAUUAAGUUCGAUAUGAACAGAGAGAAAAUGCCACUGGGCUGCGAGCAUUUUCACAUAAUCCCUUAAUGAAAGACAUUCUUUAGGAUCUUAAUCGAACAAAGUAGGUUAAGACGUUUUGCAGGCGUUAACUGUGAAGAGUGGAUGCUGAUGACGCAUCAACUAGGGUGGCAACGCGGGUGAACUCUCGUCCCUUUU
RNAcentral lists this non-coding RNA (220 nucleotides) under Virgibacillus sp. Its description in RNAcentral is "T-box sequence". It matches the Rfam family "T-box leader". From Rfam's summary of the family: Uncharged tRNA acts as the effector for transcription antitermination of genes in the T-box leader family. T-boxes are found upstream of many aminoacyl-tRNA synthetase genes and some amino acid biosynthetic genes usually in Gram-positive bacteria. Lineage: Bacteria; Bacillati; Bacillota; Bacilli; Caryophanales; Bacillaceae. The record is from RNAcentral.